GGUGGGAUGGCCGAGUGGUCCAAGGCGGCAGAUUUAAGCUCUGCUACUCGUGAGAGUGCGCGGGUUCGAACCCCGCUCCCAUCA
This 84-nucleotide transfer RNA is filed under the name Colletotrichum graminicola M1.001. RNAcentral's name for it is "tRNA-Leu (TAA) (tRNA-Leu-TAA-1-1)". It matches the Rfam family "tRNA". Rfam says of the family: Transfer RNA (tRNA) molecules are approximately 80 nucleotides in length. Their secondary structure includes four short double-helical elements and three loops (D, anti-codon, and T loops). The record is from RNAcentral. Lineage: Eukaryota; Fungi; Ascomycota; Sordariomycetes; Glomerellales; Glomerellaceae.